Molecule: ribosomal RNA, 484 nt
Filed under: uncultured bacterium
Lineage: Bacteria
Description: partial 16S ribosomal RNA
Rfam family: Bacterial small subunit ribosomal RNA
Source: RNAcentral
AUUGAACGCUGGCGGAAUGCUUUACACAUGCAAGUCGAGCGGCAGCGCGGCCUUCGGGCUGGCGGCGAGCGGCGAACGGGUGAGUAAUGCAUCGGAACAUGCCCAGUCGUGGGUGAUAACACUUCGAAAGAAGUGCUAAUACCGCAUACGUCCUGAGGGGGAAAGCGGGGGAUCGCAAGACCUCGCGCGAUUGGAGUGGCCGAUGUCAGAUUAGCUAGUUGGUGGGGUAAAGGCCUACCAAGGCGACGAUCUGUAGCUGGUCUGAGAGGAUGAUCAGCCACACUGGGACUGAGACACGGCCCAGACUCCUACGGGAGGCAGCAGUGGGGAAUUUUGGUCAAUGGGGGCAAGCCUGAUCCAGCCAUUCCGCGUGAGUGAAGAAGGCCUUCGGGUUGUAAAGCUCUUUCGGCAGGAACGAAAAGGUGGGCUCUAACAUAGUCCGCUAAUGACGGUACCUGAAGAAGAAGCACCGGCUAACUACGUG